CCGAGACAAGGCUGAAGGGCAGAGGCCAAGGAACUUCGUAAGACCGAUGUCAACGAGCUUCUCAUCAAGAUAGCCGAAAGUGAAUGACUUCGGGUCAUGCAAGAGUGCACGACCAAGGAACGAAGCAGGCAGUACGCGGUGUUGUACCUUUGCUACUCAGUGGAGUAGGCGGCAGGGUUGAUGGAGAAGACGGUACAAUCUCAGAGGCGACCAAAUCUAUUAGAGAAUUACUCCAAGUUGGGAUGAAAACUUCC
This 254-nucleotide long non-coding RNA is filed under the name Musa acuminata (dwarf banana). RNAcentral describes it as "long non-coding RNA (MACU_LNC004034)". The record is from RNAcentral. Lineage: Eukaryota; Viridiplantae; Streptophyta; Magnoliopsida; Zingiberales; Musaceae.